GACGAACGCUGGCGGCGUGCUUAACAUAUGCAAGUCGAACGGUUUGGUCGUUGGUCAUCAGACGUCAGACGUCAGGAUAGAAGGAAUUCGCAAGGCGAAUUCCAUAUCGAUUCCUACGACUGAUGCCCGAUGACUGACGGCUGAAUAGUGGCGGACGGGUGAGUAACGCGUGGGUAACCUGCCCAUAAGAGGGGGAUAACACUGGGAAACUGGUGCUAAUACCGCAUAAUUCCUGGGAUGUAAAGGCAACUCAGGGUAAAGAUGGCCUCUGUUUACAAGCUAUCGCUUAUGGAUGGGCCCGCGUCUGAUUAGCUAGUUGGUAGGGUAAAGGCCUACCAAGGCGACGAUCAGUAGCCGGCCUGAGAGGGUGGACGGCCACACUGGGACUGAGACACGGCCCAGACUCCUACGGGAGGCAGCAGUGAGGAAUAUUGCGCAAUGGGGGCAACCCUGACGCAGCAACGCCGCGUGAGUGAGGAAGGUUUUCGGACUGU
RNAcentral lists this ribosomal RNA (494 nucleotides) under uncultured bacterium. Its description in RNAcentral is "bacterial SSU rRNA". It matches the Rfam family "Bacterial small subunit ribosomal RNA", at positions 28 to 426 of the family's 1533-position model. The record is from RNAcentral.